AGAGUUUGAUCAUGGCUCAGAACGUACGCUGGCGGCACGCCUUAUACAUGCAAGUCGAACGAAGUAGCAAUACUUAGUGGCAGACGGGUGAGUAACAUGUGGGUAUCUUCCCUUUGGUGAGGAAUAACACGAGGAAACUUGUGCUAAUACCUCAUAAGUCUUUACGGAGAAAGCUUUAUGCGCCAAUGGAUGAGCCCGCACUUGAUUAGUUAGUUGGCAGGGUAAUGGCCUACCAAGACUUUGAUCAAUAGCUGAUUUGAGAGGAUGAUCAGCCACAUUGGGACUGAGACACGGCCCAAACUUCUACGGGAGGCAGCAGUAGGGAAUCUUGCACAAUGGAGGAAACUCUGAUGCAGCGAUGCCGCGUGAGUGAAGAAGGCCUUUGGGUUGUAAAGCUCUUUCGUCGGGGAAGAAAAUGACUGUACCCGAAUAAGAAGGUCUGGCUAACUUCGUGCCAGCCGCCGCGGU
This 468-nucleotide ribosomal RNA is filed under the name uncultured bacterium. RNAcentral describes it as "bacterial SSU rRNA". It matches the Rfam family "Bacterial small subunit ribosomal RNA", at positions 8 to 521 of the family's 1533-position model. The record is from RNAcentral.